GCCUUAGUAGUAUAAAAAUUACAUUGGCUUUGUAAGCCAAAAAUGAAGAACACCUUCCUAAGGCA
RNAcentral lists this transfer RNA (65 nucleotides) under Ctenomys sociabilis (social tuco-tuco). RNAcentral's name for it is "tRNA-Thr". It matches the Rfam family "tRNA". Rfam says of the family: Transfer RNA (tRNA) molecules are approximately 80 nucleotides in length. Their secondary structure includes four short double-helical elements and three loops (D, anti-codon, and T loops). Lineage: Eukaryota; Metazoa; Chordata; Mammalia; Rodentia; Ctenomyidae. The record is from RNAcentral.